RNAcentral lists this transfer RNA (76 nucleotides) under Actinoplanes campanulatus. RNAcentral describes it as "tRNA-OTHER". It matches the Rfam family "tRNA". Rfam says of the family: Transfer RNA (tRNA) molecules are approximately 80 nucleotides in length. Their secondary structure includes four short double-helical elements and three loops (D, anti-codon, and T loops). Lineage: Bacteria; Bacillati; Actinomycetota; Actinomycetes; Micromonosporales; Micromonosporaceae. The record is from RNAcentral.
GCCGACGCAGGGGAGUCCGGAGUCCCCGUCACCGGAGUCAAGGUGAAGAUCGCGGGUUCGAAUCCCGUCGUCGGUG